Long non-coding RNA from Taeniopygia guttata (zebra finch), 5788 nucleotides. The record is from Ensembl. NCBI's taxonomy places the organism in Eukaryota, Metazoa, Chordata, Aves, Passeriformes, Estrildidae.
GGGGUGCGAAAUGGCGGCUGCGAAUUCGCUUUUAGCGGACGGAGCCGCGGCUCCUCAGCCCCCUGCCCUGCAAACUGCGCUGUCUGGUUGGGAAGAAAUAAAGCCUUCAAGGCGGUUUUUGCUGCGCCCUGAGGCAGUGGGAGUCUCAAAGGGAGGAGCGCCCCAUACAGAUCAGCUAUGCUGGCAGCAUCUGAUUGAGGCACACGCCAACAUGGAGACAUUGUGUUAAGGGGUUGGAAUGCACCUUUUCCAAUCCGCUGCCUUGCGCUUCCCACUAGACCAGCUGCUGGUGAAGAGUCCCUCCCCAGCUUCCCUGUGGCCUCCUUCAGACAGCGGGAUGUGCUGUGAGGUCUCUGCAGAGCCAGAUCGUGUUGGUAUGUGCCAUCAUGGUGCUUCCCUUCACAGGCUUCCCACCCUGCUUGGGGGCAAUGGGAAUGCUGCUUUCUCCUUGCUUUUGUCAGCCAGGUAUCCCUGUGGUCCAAAUAAACAGCCAUCAAAAGUAUAAUUAAAACCAGCAGCCUGAAUUCGCUUGCUGUCACCCAGCCUCUUACUCCUGCCUUGCCCCUUGCACUGAUGCAGCUAACUGGAAAAACAAACUAAACCAGAGUGAAAAAAAAAAAAAAAAGCAAGCAGUGUCUUCCUGACUGGAUCAGCAAACUGAACCAGCUCGGCUGAGGGACAGAGCAGAUCCCUCGUGGGCUCCCCAGGACUGGGCAGAGCAGCCAGUCUUCUAAACCCACAAAAAAGCAACCCUCUUCUAAACCCACAGUCAAGGCCUGCUCCAGCUGCAAGAAGGGCCCUUGAUAAUGCUUCCCACAGCCUGGGGAGCUGGGCAUCCCUGUGGCCUCAGCAUAACACAAACUUAUCCCAUCUAAACAGCUUGGCCUCUGCCAGCUUACCCUGUCCUCUCUGGGACCUUCCAGGUACUGCGCUUCAUCUGAGGGCACACAUGGUUUUGCCUUAUUAGGUCCUUACCUACAUGUUCAUUUUUCAAGGACCAGACUUGUUGAUAACGUUCAAGGUUUACUUGCAGCAUAAAGGCUAGGAGGAAGUGGAUCUGUUACAUUUCACUUUGCCAGCAUAACACACUUUUCUCCUUUCCUUAUAAGACCUUUUUAAAAGCCCAGCUAAGAAGCCCCAGUUCCUGUGAUUCUCUUCACAAACCACGUCAGAACUUGAUGCUUCCACAGGGCGUUUGCCCCUCCACAAGUGAGCACAGCUUCAUUUGGAGCCUCUGGAGCCUCUGCUAUCACCUCAUCAGGAGCCAGGUUCUUAGGUAAUUCCCAACCUGGAGCCAGGAGCACCCAGACUGAAUCAGCAAGGCAGAAAGCCACCCCCAAUUUUGGCCAGACUAAACAAGCGACCUUUACUCUGGCUCUAAAGCCGCCUUGCCUAGGCAGGGCUCAGUGCGCUGCCCUUAUCUCAUGAAUGCACAUAAAGUGUUGACGAGGCACCUCAACUUUCCAACCAGCAGCCAGCUACUAACCUGGGAAAACACACACCAAAAAAAAAGAGCUUUGUGAAGAAUAUUUAAAAGGAGGUUAAGUAAGACUGUCUGGAACAGGAGAGCUAUUUCAGCAGGCAGGGUGUUUUUCUUCUGGAAGCUGAAGGAUUGGGGGGGGAGGAAGGAGUAGCUUGGAGCUAGCAGGUUCUUCCUCCCCCAAUCUGUUAGCAUUUCAGGCUAGCCCAAGUUUUCCUGGAGCUUUGCCAAUUCCCAUUGAUUUCGGACCUUUUUUUCUCUCUCCCAAGCACGUAGCAUAUAAUAUUUGGCAUUAACAAAUUGUCUCCAUGACUUAGCUUUCCUGGUUUUGCCAUACUAGUUUCCUCGCUUAAAAAUUGAAUUAAACAAAAUAAAGCAGCAUCAAGAGUUCAAGCACCAGCUCUCUGCUGUGAAUGUUUGGAAGAGUGGGAAACUCCAAAGGAUGUCUCAUUCUCUUGGGACCAGGUCCAGGUCACCACCUUCUGCUUUUGCUGAGCUUCUGCUGAGAUUUGAGGGUUUUUCUGCAGACAAACCUCCCAGAUAAGGAACCAGAUGAGGCUUCUCAGGAAGGAUCGUGGCUUGUCUGUAGCAGCUGAUAUACAGCUGAGUCACUUGGCUGCGGCUGAGGGAGAAGGGAGCUUUCCCCAGCCUAAACUUGUUUUUUAGCCCCAUUUUCUGGGAGGUGCGUGCUCCGUUUGGAGAAAGUGAGUAGGAAGAGCUCGGAAAGCUGCAGCCAAGUGAAGGACUUUUCUUCACACAUGACUCACUUUCCAGCUGCCUCCCCUACCAACCAGUUGGACUGGGCCAGCACCAAAGCCCGGCUGCUUUUGAUGCUCAGUUUUGUCGUGCCUACAGCACACAAAUUCCUUCCACAUCACCUCGCCCUCCUGGAGCCCAAUUCUGUGCUUUGCAUAAGUGGGGCACGUGAGGAAUCCCUGUUUGGCAAUCCCUGGAGGCCAGCCAGAGGCCCCUGCAGGCUCUGCUUUUGCAGCUGCAGCCAGCUCUGCAGGAGAAAUGUUCUCUUUGCAAAAGAAAAAAACCAAAACAACUGAAAUAAAUAAAGAGAGGCAUUUUCCACAGCAGCCUGCCUUUCAGACUCUUUUGCAUUUCCACUCAGACUGCAGCAGGAGGAGGAGAAGAAGCAAAGCCAGCCACAAAUUACAGCCUGGCAGCCUCGUGCAGAGCCUUGAGCACGUCUGAAGUUUAUUCCAGCCCAAGAGCAGCCUCCCUGUGAUUCAGCAAAUGGUUUGGCUUGUGGGUCCUGCUGGAGUGGAGACAGACACCCACACACACCCACCCUUCCUCACCAGUGACUGACAUUCUUCCCAGAGCAAAAAGCAUCAGAGAAUGUUCCAAAUGGGAUGGCAGUGCUGCAGGGACUGCAUCCAAGGGCAGAGCUGCAGCUCAGCAGCACCAGCAGCAGCCAGGCCAUGUGGGACCUGUCUCACUCCUCCUGGCACACACACACACACACAAAAGAAACAACCAAAAAAAUACAACCCUUACCCACAGAAACAGAUGAUUCUUGACUGGAUCAGGGGCCUGAAUCAGCCCAGGGUGCAGAGAGCAGCACAUGAUGAGCCAGCUGGGCUGUAAGAGCAAGACUACAUCAGCUUCAAACUGAAAGAGAGUAGUUUUAGGUGAGAUAUGAAGAAGAAAUUCUUCCCUGUGAGGGUGGGGAGGCCCUGGCACAGGCUGCCCAGAGAGGCUGUGGCUGCCCCAUCACUUCAAGUGUUCCAGGCCAGGUUGGACAGGGCUUGGAGCAACCCAGUCCAGUGGAAGGUGUCCCCACCCAUGGCAGAGGUUUGGAACAAAAUGGCCUUCAAGGUCCCUUCCAACCCAAACCAUGCUGUGAUUCUAUGACCCUGCACAUUUUCAGCCUCUCGGCCCCAGCAUCAGCUCAAACAGCCUCACAGUGCCAAGCCCAGAGGCUGAUCUGGCUUUAGGGGUGAUCCCUUCCUCCCCCCAGGCAGUUUUCCGGUUCCUGGCCGAACUCCUGUGGCACAGCACGGGGUGAAAGCACCGAGAACCAUCCCCCUGUGGCAGAGAACCAUCCCCCUGUGGCAGAGAACCAUCCCCCUGUGGCAGCUGUGCCAAGCAGAGCUCCCCAUUAACACUGCCAAGGCCAUGGGCUGCAUUCCUUCCCACCUUCAGCUCAGCCACAACUUAAUUAUCAAAGGGGGUCAAUCAAGCACAAUGGAUUUUCCAAGCAAAGCAUAACAUAAAACCUCAAAUCACUGCAGCUAAUUCUCAUUUCAGUACUUUCUUUGUCAGCUGUCACAAGUUGUGCAUUUUAGCCACAAGCUGUGUUUUGUUUCCAGGUUUCCUCAGCAUUUUAGGUGCUGCUUACUAGGAUUAGACUCCUAUUUCAAGGCAAACCAUAUCCCAAGGCAACUGAUACUCCAAACCAAGUAGAUCAACACAAAGAGCAUCAGCACCCAUAAAGGCUUUGCCUUCAUGAAUUAGGAUUUCUGAGCAGCAGCAAGAUCUUGAACAGCAACAGGGUUGCCAGAAAAGCAGAUGAUUCCUCCUGAAUACAAGGGAAUCAACAGUGCAGCAUCAACUCAUCAGUGUUUUAAAGGAUACGCACCUAGAUGCAGAAUUCUGUUCCUGCUCCCAUUGUGUCAUCUUGUCAGGGUCAUAAGCAGUAAGAUUGCAGCUAGAUAAAUCUCUGCCACAAUCUUUGAAGAAGGGUUUCUUUUUAUAAAUGCAAAGUCAUAUGUUUCUCUAAAUCCUAUUUAACCCAACCCCCAAAAACUUUAGAACUAUACAUGUAGGUUAUCCAGGAAGAAAACAAACAAAAAUAUAUAAUAGAUUUUUAAAUAUAUUUCAGUACAAAUACAUAAAACAAAAAAUAUAGAGAAAAUAGGGGGCUGAGAUCCUUUCAUUAGGUCCCUGCUUUGCAGGUUUUCAAGGCUUACACUUAGAAGUUUUUUUUUGGUUUUUUUUUUUACACUUAUGGCUUUUUCAGCAGUGGAGGUUAUUGCCAUCCAGUGUUUUCCAUCUGCUGUGACUCAUUUGGGCUCACACAGAAGUGAUUAGAAAAUCACGGGACUCCAGGAGCUACAGCUUUAAGGAAAAGCACAACGAAUUACAGCUUCUGCAGGAAAAAUAAGAGUUGGCAGAGAACAGCUACAAAGGCUGCUGUAAGGAACCAGCCUGAGGAAACGCACCCACCCCAAAACUGUCUUCACUGUUGAAAUACUUGCUUUCUCUUCCUUCAUUAUCCAAAGCAAAAAGGAAGGCAGUAAUUAUUGAGGAAGAAGGUUAAAAACCAAAGAGUUUUGACUGGAAACAAAAGCCCAAGUGAGCUGUCCUCAAAACUUUGGAUGAGCUAAGAGUUGAUGUGUAGGAAAAAGAGAAGGAAUAGAACAGGAAGAUCAUACAGUUUAAUACCCUAAUAAACAGCCUGAGAAGUCAGGCAGGGAUUGCUGCUUUCCUGCUCACUGGAUUCCAUGCUAUUGCAAGGUUUAUAGAUCUUUUUUUGGGUCACAAAAAGCAUCGGGCAGCACCUCCUCACGUGUGAUCUCAGCUCAGCUGCACACUCACAGCUCAGGACUUUUAAGCCAGGCUGUGGAUUUCAGUGAAUUUGCAGCAGCAGCCAAUUACUGUGGCCAAAAGUGGCACGGGUUGGGAUUAAUCAAAGUCACAAGGCCACAGGGGGGAAGUGGCAAGUGCAGCCACUGUGGCUUCCACCACGAGGUUUUUCUUCAUACCAGUGGAUACAACCCACACCCAGAGUCGUGGGCAUCUGAAUAGCUGCCCUCUGCCCUCUGCUACAAAAGGGUAAAAAUACAGCCAGAGACUCAAUCUCUUUCUUCCACUGUCCCAGCCAAGUCUGGGAUUUUUUAACAGUUUGGAGCAAGUUGCCCAGUGUGGUGUUCAUCCCUUCCUCACUCCAAGUUUGAUGUGCAUCCCACAGCAAACUUCCCGAGCCUCUUCUAGGGUUUCUUCACCUUCCAAUUUCAUAAAGCAAAAGCAUGUUUCAGUCCAGGGAAGAAAACCACCAGGAUUGUGGCACAAGGAGGGCAAACAGCUAUGAUUCAAUGCCUUUGGAUUUCACAAGAGGACUCCCUGGAGCAAUCUCCUUUCCUGUGUCCUUCCCACUGUUCACCCAACAGCAGCUGGGCAAACACUGGAACAUCUCCUCAAAAGAGCAAGCACAGGCAAAAGAGAUGCUUUAUGAAUUCCAUGGGCAGUGCUGACUAAUGAAGUAUUGGCAGCCUGGUCUUCCAUGGCAAUCACAGUGGCAGCCUGCAGCCUGGUUUUCCAUGGCAGUCACAGUUUCCAUGAUUAUCACCUCAUAUG